Molecule: unclassified non-coding RNA, 219 nt
Filed under: soil metagenome
Description: partial contains 5.8S ribosomal RNA, internal transcribed spacer 2, and large subunit ribosomal RNA
Source: RNAcentral
AACAUCGCGCACCUGCGGGAACCUGCGGAAGGAUCAUUACAGAGUUGCAAGACUCCCUAAACCAUUGUGAACCUACCUUCUACCGUUGCUUCGGCGGGCGGGCCCAGCGCCCCCCCCGGCCCCCCGCGGGCGCCCGCCGGAGGAUACCCAAACUCUUGACAUUAGUGGCCUCUCUGAGUAUUCUUUACUGAAUAAGUCAAAACUUUCAGCAACGGAUCU